Molecule: ribosomal RNA, 492 nt
Filed under: uncultured bacterium
Lineage: Bacteria
Description: partial 16S ribosomal RNA
Rfam family: Bacterial small subunit ribosomal RNA
Source: RNAcentral
AGUGAACGCUGGCGGUAGGCCUAACACAUGCAAGUCGAACGGCAGCACAGUAAGCGCUUGCUCUUACGGGUGGCGAGUGGCGGACGGGUGAGGAAUACAUCGGAAUCUACUUUUUCGUGGGGGAUAACGUAGGGAAACUUACGCUAAUACCGCAUACGACCUACGGGUGAAAGCAGGGGAUCUUCGGACCUUGCGCGAUUGAAUGAGCCGAUGUCGGAUUAGCUAGUUGGCGGGGUAAAGGCCCACCAAGGCGACGAUCCGUAGCUGGUCUGAGAGGAUGAUCCGCCACACUGGAACUGAGACACGGUCCAGACUCCUACGGGAGGCAGCAGUGGGGAAUAUUGGACAAUGGGCGCAAGCCUGAUCCAGCCAUACCGCGUGGGUGAAGAAGGCCUUCGGGUUGUAAAGCCCUUUUGUUGGGAAAGAAAAGCAGCAGGUUAAUACCCCGCUGUUCUGACGGUACCCAAAGAAUAAGCACCGGCUAACUUCGUG